Molecule: RNA transcript, 362 nt
Organism: Monodelphis domestica (gray short-tailed opossum)
Lineage: Eukaryota; Metazoa; Chordata; Mammalia; Didelphimorphia; Didelphidae
Gene: C1H19orf12
Gene name: chromosome 1 C19orf12 homolog
Source: RefSeq, a predicted model, not a curated record
GAGAGACUCGGCUUGCCUCCCAGCUCCACACAAGCUCACUGUCCCGGCAGAGCCAAACACCAAGAGCAAACUCCGGCAUCCUCCCUCCUCCAAACUCCUCGAACUUCCAGCCCUAGUUUCGCAGCAAAAUGGACCCCAGUCCAGAAGAGAAGAGAAGAGAAGAGAAGAGAAGAGAAGAGAAGAGAAGAGAAGAGAAGAGAAGAGAAGAGAAGAGCUUAUUUUUAAUUCAAUACUUAACCUCCUUUGAGAAAUCUUAAGGACAAAAACCUACUGUUAAUAGGAGAAAUAUGAGCCUGAAACAACUAAUAAAGUUGAUGUCAGUCCAGUCGUAAAUUGCCAGAGAUUUGCUGGAUUUCAGAAAA